RNAcentral lists this ribosomal RNA (103 nucleotides) under uncultured bacterium. RNAcentral describes it as "partial 16S ribosomal RNA". The record is from RNAcentral.
AAGACGGCCCUACGGGUUGUAAACUGCUUUUAUACCGGAAUAAACCUUUCUACGUGUAGGAAGCUGAAUGUACGGUAAGAAUAAGGAUCGGCUAACUCCGUGC